Molecule: long non-coding RNA, 3768 nt
Organism: Ornithodoros turicata
Lineage: Eukaryota; Metazoa; Arthropoda; Arachnida; Ixodida; Argasidae
Exons: 4
Source: RefSeq, a predicted model, not a curated record
CCGUCGGCAAACCCUGCGCACGGGCGCACCGACGUCACUGCUCUCGGUUUAUCUGUCUUUGGCUUGGCAUGGACUCUUGGCUUGGCUGCUUGGCUUCUUUCGUUUCCUCCUCUGUGCACCGUACAUAAGCGAACAGCUGUUAUGUUGUUGCUAAGCCGGAAACAAAGCAUGUGAAUGUUUUUUUUUUUUUUUUUGGCACAGCGUCGUUUGGAAAGUGCACUUCCGUGUUGUGACCUUGCCUUUUAUGGGCUGGAGCGAUAUGAUUCGUGAAUAUGCCACGGCGAAGUUGUCGAAGAUACGACGGUGCUACGCUGUUAGAACAAUUCAUCGGAGAAUUCAAGUGUUACCUAUUAUAAGCUGCCAAAAGACCAAGCAGUGCGACGCUCUUGGCUGACAGUGGUGCCUGCUGAUUUCCACUGCAAGGAUUUCGUCCACGAAUGUUAUCAUAGGUUACGCGCGACUCCAGAGGCAAUUUGGAAUCUUGGCACGAAAUCGUCUGAUGAAAAUCUGAGGUGCCCGACGCAUAACAUUUUGAACGUGCCACGGAGGAUCAAGGCAAAAAACGAGAGCAAAAAAAGGUGCACGCUGAAGGCGGAAAUGAAGCAUGAUCUGGCUUGCAUCUGGUCAUGAAGAAAUUGCUGACACGUUAGUUGCAGUCCACCUCCACCAACAGGGUGGAAAACAAAGGUCGCCAUUCCGAUUAGCUGCUAUCUCCCAGUUCAAGCACUUUUGUGUCUGGACACUGGUUCCUGAGGAUGGGGUGUUACAAGCUUCACUGUCUGAUAUAUAAGUGAUGAGCAUCCAUAAGGACACAUGCAAGAAAGGGAGUCUCUUUGGGACGACAAACCCUCAUCACCUCAUGAGGAUACAAUGGUUGACAAAUGGUUCCAAAGCACAUCGAAACUUCCAACAAAUAAUACAUGAAAAAGCUAGUCAGUGCUAGCACCAGGAAUUGAACGCGGACCGUCUUGCUACCAGUCAGAGAUGUUCAGUGGCGUAGCCACGGGGGGGCUAGGGGGGGGGGGGGGCUCGAGCCCCUCUACCUGCCACGGACCGACCCACACAAAUCGUGCAAAUCCGAGAACAUAAUAUAUGGGAGGGGGGGGGACCAGUGUGACUAUCGCGAAAGUUCUUGCAGUUCAUGGCGUCUCUCUAAGAAGCACUCUUGCAUGGUUUUCAAAGUAUGAGCUUUUCAAAAUACUUCCAAUCUCGUGACACCACUUCAUUGGUCAUGACAGCCUACACAUGUAAUCGUACUGUGAACGUCUAAAUCAACUAUUUUCGUUCCCUUUUUUAAUCCUCAGUUUGCAGUGUGCACAAGUAUGUGUGUGUUGUCGACACAGGAUCAGCGGGGGGGGGGGGGGGGCGAGUUUUCGUAUCGAGCCCCCCCCUACCUUUGAGGCCUGGCUACGCCACUGGAGAUGUUACAUUUCAGGCGCUCAUUGACUUUUGGUGAAUUACUUGUUGACUUUGUCCCAAGGAACAAACUUGAGACUUGAGACAAAUUGAUUCUCCCACCUGUUGCCACUGUGGUGCUCUUGAGGAUCUGGAGCACAUUCUUCUUCAUUGCCCUCACUACGAACCUUCCCGAAUCACACUCUCCGAGUCUCUUCGUCAGCUGGACUCUGGCCCUUUCUCCCUACCGAAAUUGCUUGGUCCCUGGCCCAAUCCAGCCCAGCAACGCUCUGCGCUCAAAGCUCUUCUGACAUUUCUGGACACCAUCGGACUUCGAUCGUUAUUGUAAAGGGGCUCGUUAUUUUAUUCCCCCCAUUCCACCAAGCACUGGGGUAGAGUAUCGCCUGUUGCGAUGAAACUCCCCACUCUCCAAGACCGAAAAUAAAGUUGUUGUUGUUUUGUCCCAAGGUGGAGCUCGCUACAGCUCAUUUGCUAUCUGUUAAUGUUGUGGCGUGUGUUGCGUUUUUCUCUUUGUGUGUUCCAGACUCAGAACGGUUAAUUUGGAUCAGGUCAGGUACGUUUCAUUUAGACAUGGCAAACAUAAAGUGGUGUUUCUCAACACAACUUAGCAGUGGCCUUCAUGCAUUACUGCUACGGCCAUUAAGCGUGAAUAGAAACCUGCGCAUUAUCCAUGAUGUAAAACCCCAAGACUAGGGAACACGAAGGGACAGACACAAACAUGUCCCUUUGUGUUCCCUAGUCUCGGGGUUUUACAUAUGCAUCAUCUUCACCAGCUCGCUUGCUUGCAGCCAAUUUUUCUGCACAUUAUGUUCACUCUACUUUUAUCGUGUGCUAUAUAAUCUUGUUCAAGUUCUGUCAAACAACCUGUAAUGCUAUAAAAAAAUUCAGUACACUGUUUGUGUGGGUUGAAUGGUAGCGCAUGAAUGCAGGAAGGAAACUGUCAUGUUAUGGCAAGUGUUUACGUAUUGUACAUUUAACUACUAAUUUUAUUGGUUAGCUUUCACUGGCGUAUCAUGUCAAGCCAUGUUGUAUUAAUUUGGAACAUGUUCUUCUUAGUAGCCAGAGCAGCUGAUACACAGAGAGAACAUAGCCCGUGUGUGUUUGUCUUUUCCACCGCAGCCCUUGGGUUUCCUCCCUGAUGGCUACACAUGUCAGGGAUAGGUUUCAGAACCGGUAGUUCCCGCCGAGUGUGAAUUGCUUUCCAGGGGAUCAUCACACUGGCAGAUGAAACAUAUGGUUUAAAUUAUUUGCAGGACAGGAAUUGCGCAGCUUCACACAAAUACUACUACUACUACGACGUAAGAGUGGGUUCCAAUCUAGCUUUUUUUGUGUUCCUGACAUUAUCGCACAAGAUGUAGUAUCCACUAUGAUCCUUUAUGUGGGGGGUACGUACAGUGCAAUCAACAGAUGCUAUUUACAAAUCUGUGUUUUCUACUGUGUUGAAAUGGGGUAGUUUGUAUCUGAGAGCCAUAGUGAAACACAGGCCCUCGAGAAACAUGGCAACACAUUGCAGGGACUCUGAAUGCUGCCUAAAUUUCCAGAACACACAGCUCAAGGCAGCAGUUAAAUAACAAGUGGUUAGAGAAAUCCAAGAUAGUUGCAUCCGUAAGCAGUCCGCUGUUGGAUUUGCUUCUGUCAGAGAUACGUUAUCUCAAAGGGAACGCACGGACACAGUCAGAAUGAUACUAGGGCUGCCUGUGAAAUAGAAUGAGGAGAGGGGAAGAUAUAUAACCCUUUUUCUUGUCUGUUAUUCUAGUGGUUAAAUUGUCAUUUUCUUAGCAGCAUAUGUGUGUAUAUUCCAGAGUCUGCUAAUAAAUAUAUCAGUUUAGAGCUAGCAGUCGCAUUAUAGAUGUCUCAUCCCGUCCUUGGUUGCUUGUGAUUCACUAUGGCCAUGCUUGCUAUUGAAAAAACAGAAAACAAAAAAAAGACAAUAGAAAAACACGGAAAGAGCGACCUAAAAAGCUGCCUGUUCCAGUGCUCACAUGGAGGCAAUGCAAUGAGGUAACAUGUUCCAUUCAUGAACUGUGCAUAGUAGUACAUAUCACAACGGCAACCGAUUAUUCAGAUUUUUCUUGAAGUACUUUUCUUUUUUUUUUUUAGCUUUGUUUGCACAGUCUAUUAUUGGAGCUUUAUGUGAUUCCCCUCUUCAGAUACUUUAAGAUUGCUGAUGCUGUGCAGUUUGUUAAUUUUGAAACUGUACUGUGCUGAGGUACAAAAACAGAAUUGUCAUAUCUGCAUUUGAGCACAUAGGAAUAAUUUGUAAGUACUUUACGUGUUGACAUAAUUAUUUGCACCAGGUAACAACAUUGUUGAUUUAUGGAAAAUGUAAAUAAAUAUAUUUAUUUGCUUGCC